CAUGUGACCGUGGAAAGUGACAUCAGCGAGAAACACCUGCCGCAGCUUGAAGAUGACUUUAAGAGAGAAGUUCUUACGCUCUGCUAUUUUUGUGCUGAUCUAUGGCUUUCAAAGCUUCAUAUCUUGAGACUGAAAAACGAAGUUGGGCCAUUCAGCACCCCAAACCACUAGGGCACGCGGAAUAAGAUUUGGUCUCCAGACUCACUCGGCCCCAGUGAUGCACGCUUCCAGAAUGGACACAGCUGAGGCUGCGAGUAUGAUUGAGAGGGAAACAGCGAUUAGGGUUCCCAUAACCUCCUUAUUAUCCUCACUGCCCAAACAGAGCUUUGAGACUGAUGUACUAUGUGAGGAUGACAUGAUUAUAAGACAACAAUCUGUUUCAUUUCUGUAAUAUCUCAACAACACCAGUCCGAAGGCAAGAGAUUUUGUGCUGUGAUUUUGUCCUUUUCAUAAUGUAGUGAAGGUGAUGGACAGUUUAUUCUUAUUGAUGCACUACGCUUACAAAUAAAGCGGCAUGAUAUUAGCAUUUUUGAACAUGGUAGCAUAGAAAUAACAUGUUUUUGAAAACAUACUAAUACCACGGAAUUAUUUGAAGUGUCAUAGAGUAUCAUCUAAAUCAAUAUUUUAGAAUUUUAAUGAUUUAGUACAAUGGUGUAAGCUAUGUCCAUUGAGGUAUAUAUAUAUAUACCUCAGGAAAUAUAUCUGUUAACAUUUUCAUUCACCUCAAAGGCAGUUACUUGACCCCUCCAGAAAUAUAUGUAUGUAUAUAUUCACAAUUUACAUGUAUAUAUUCAGACAUAUAACUAUGUUUUCUGAUUUACAUCUAUCAUCUAUAUAUUCAUACUUACAACUAUAUAUUCAGAUUUACACCUGUAUAUGCACAAUUUACAUUUCUAUAUUCAGACUUAUAACUAUAUAUUCUUUUUUACAUAUAUUCAGAUUUACAUAUAUUAGGUUUAC
This is a long non-coding RNA of Labeo rohita (rohu), 960 nucleotides long. RefSeq lists it as uncharacterized. Lineage: Eukaryota; Metazoa; Chordata; Actinopteri; Cypriniformes; Cyprinidae. The record is from RefSeq and is a predicted model, not a curated record. The transcript is spliced from 4 exons.